Dermacentor silvarum is the source of this 451-nucleotide long non-coding RNA. RefSeq lists it as uncharacterized. The transcript has 3 exons. NCBI's taxonomy places the organism in Eukaryota, Metazoa, Arthropoda, Arachnida, Ixodida, Ixodidae. The record is from RefSeq and is a predicted model, not a curated record.
GCGAAGGUGGUGAUGGUGAGAAAGGUGAUGACUUUUCGACGCUGCGUGAGCUUCGCCAGGUGGACUUGGCGGGGUUGGCGAGGUCGUCCGGCAGCCGACACAAGUGGUCCAUGACGUGCGCCGUGGCUGGGAAGCUGGCCAGGUGCAGCAAGGUGGUGACGACCGGGAUACUGGGCAAGUGAGGCAGGCCUGCAGGCAGCAUACGACGAGCUGUGGUGAGCAGCCGCAGGUAGCAGUGCUCGUAAGGCGAUGGGCUUCGCUGUUGGACGUCGAAGUAGUCGCCCACGAUUCGUCGCUGCGUGUACGAGCAGCCGGUUGGUCGGAAGACGCCCCACGGACGAUAGACUGGUCCCUUGGCACACCAUGAUUGCGGACAACAUUCGAACGCUACGAUGGCGAUGGUGAGAAGGCCCGACGGCAGCCACGCGCAUAUCGGCACGAGAUCUGCUUC